This 267-nucleotide unclassified non-coding RNA is filed under the name Glomus sp. RNAcentral describes it as "partial contains 5.8S ribosomal RNA and internal transcribed spacer 2". The stretch from base 1 to 65 matches the Rfam family "5.8S ribosomal RNA", at positions 84 to 154 of the family's 154-position model. The record is from RNAcentral. Lineage: Eukaryota; Fungi; Glomeromycota; Glomeromycetes; Glomerales; Glomeraceae.
GUGAAUCAUCGAAUUUUUGAACGCAAAUUGCACUCUCUUCUGAGAGUAGGCCUGUUUGAGGGUCAGCCUAAAAAAAAUCUACAUCGUUGCUGUUGCGCGGUGGCUUUCGUCGGAAAUUGGGUUAUGUUAAAUCUUUGGUUUAAGCGACGUAAAAUUUUCUUUACGGUUCCAUGAACGUUUCCGAGAUUUAUCUCUUUACACGUGUAAGGUAUCGGUUUUAUUAUGCGUUGUCGUCAUAUCUGAUCAUGUCCAUAAUUUUUCAUUAAC